ACGACUGUACUUGAACAGGAUCUGUUCUCUAGGUCGUACUUCAGUCCAUACCGAGAGGUAUAGACAAACCGAUUUACCCGGACGAUGAGACUGAGCCCACCGGCUUGAGCGCGACCGUACGGUGCUUGGUACUAUUGUGCCAUGCGGCCCAUAGAUGACCGUUCACUCCGAGCUUGCUCGGUUGUGAAGGCCGGGCGGGCAGUCUGACGGGUC
This 213-nucleotide small nucleolar RNA is filed under the name Selaginella moellendorffii. Its description in RNAcentral is "snoRNA Plant_U3". It matches the Rfam family "Plant small nucleolar RNA U3". From Rfam's summary of the family: Small nucleolar RNAs (snoRNAs) are involved in the processing and modification of rRNA in the nucleolus. There are two main classes of snoRNAs: the box C/D class, and the box H/ACA class. U3 snoRNA is a member of the box C/D class. Lineage: Eukaryota; Viridiplantae; Streptophyta; Lycopodiopsida; Selaginellales; Selaginellaceae. The record is from Rfam by way of RNAcentral.